Lutzomyia longipalpis is the source of this 479-nucleotide long non-coding RNA. RefSeq lists it as uncharacterized. The transcript has 3 exons. Lineage: Eukaryota; Metazoa; Arthropoda; Insecta; Diptera; Psychodidae. The record is from RefSeq and is a predicted model, not a curated record.
UUUCUUUUCAUUUCCAACCUUUCCGCGUUUCAGAGGGAAGCUCCUCUUCUCAAAAUUUAUUUUUCAAUUUUCUCAAAGAAAAACUCUUUAAUACAAAUUAAUUUGUGGAAAAUGCAUCCCCAACUAUUUAACUUCGUGAAAAACCUUAAAGAAGUUGAAAAUAUUCUUUACAUUUUCAGCAGUAAGGAGUUUUCUUCUGAGGUUGAUGAUUCCGGGAGUUGAGGGCUUCCUGGAAUAUCAAUGGAACCAUCUGAACUAGCAAGAUCUUUGUGCUGAUCAGGAGAACUUAAGGAUAAAGCUCAGAAGCACGAUCUUGUAUUUACAGCCGUGGGAGAAUCUUAAGAUUCCGGAAGGCAUUUCUGCUAUUCCGGACGCAAAGACAUGAAGGGGUAGAUAACUACACUUUUGGAGUUCCUUAAUUUUUAUUCACUAAAAUUUUCUAAAAUUUUCUUUAAAUAAAAUUGAAGAUAAGAAAUUUA